ACCAGCACAGACCAAUUAUGGCUUCUGCUUUGGCAGCGGGGCUGACAGACAGAGACUUUCUACAAUCUCAGAAUCAUCAAUACCUCAGAUUCCAGCAACCACGGUGCCCAAGAAUUUGGGGAGAGACUUUGCCCUAGCCCAGGCUGCUCCGAGCCCUGCCCAGCCUGGCCCUCAGCCCAGCUGCAGCUGAAACUCCACGGAACUGUGGUGAGUCAUUAAUUGCCUCCUUCCUAAUG
This 236-nucleotide long non-coding RNA is filed under the name Lonchura striata (white-rumped munia). RNAcentral's name for it is "domestica (Bengalese finch) lncRNA (ENSLSDG00000003084.1)". Lineage: Eukaryota; Metazoa; Chordata; Aves; Passeriformes; Estrildidae. The record is from RNAcentral.